GUAGUCAUAUGCUUGUCUCAAAGAUUAAGCCAUGCAUGUCUAAGUAUAAGCAAUUAUACCGUGAAACUGCGAAUGGCUCAUUAAAUCAGUUAUCGUUUAUUUGAUAGUACCUUACUACAUGGAUAACCGUGGUAAUUCUAGAGCUAAUACAUGCUGAAAACCCCAACUUCGGGAGGGGUGUAUUUAUUAGAUAAAAAACCAACGCCCUUCGGGGCUCCUUGGUGAUUCAUAAUAACUUUACGGAUCGCAUGGCCUUGCGCCGGCGACGGUUCAUUCAAAUUUCUGCCCUAUCAACUUUCGAUGGUAAGGUAUUGGCUUACCAUGGUUUCAACGGGUAACGGGGAAU
RNAcentral lists this ribosomal RNA (346 nucleotides) under uncultured fungus. Its description in RNAcentral is "SSU rRNA". It matches the Rfam family "Eukaryotic small subunit ribosomal RNA", at positions 20 to 370 of the family's 1831-position model. The record is from RNAcentral. Lineage: Eukaryota; Fungi.